ACCCGCACAAGCGGUGGAGCAUGUUGCUUAACUCGACGCAACGCGAAGAACCUUACCGGGUUUGAAGUGUGCUUGAAGGGUGCAGAGAUGCAUUCCGCUCUUCGGAGCAGGUACAUCAGGUGCUGCACGGCUGUCGUCAGCUCGUGUCGUGAGAUGUUGGGUUAAGUCCUGUAACGAGCGCAACCCUUAUUCGUAGUUGCCAUCAGGUAAAGCUGGGAACUCUACGGAGACUGCCGGUGAUAAACCGGAGGAAGGUGGGAUGACGUCAAGUCAUCGUGGCCCUUACGUCCCGGGCUGCAAACGUGCUACAAUGGUCGGUACAAAGAGAUGCAAGACCGCGAGGUGGAGCAAAUCUCAAAAAACCGAUCUCAGUUCGGAUUGCAGUCUGCAACUCGACUGCAUGAAGUUGGAAUCGCUAGUAAUCGCGGAUCAGCAUGCCGCGGUGAAUACGUUCCCGGGUCUU
This 463-nucleotide ribosomal RNA is filed under the name uncultured Latescibacterota bacterium. RNAcentral describes it as "bacterial SSU rRNA". It matches the Rfam family "Bacterial small subunit ribosomal RNA", at positions 919 to 1382 of the family's 1533-position model. The record is from RNAcentral. Lineage: Bacteria; Pseudomonadati; Candidatus Latescibacterota.